CAUCAUGCCCCUUACUUGUUCUUGGGCGUACACACGUGCUACAAUGGCCGGUACAGACGGACGCAAAGCCGCGAGGUGGAGCAAAUCCUAAAAAGCCGGUCUCAGUUCGGAUUGCAGGCUGCAAUUCGCCUGCAUGAAGUCGGAAUCGCUAGUAAUCGCAGGUCAGCAUACUGCGGUGAAUACGUUCCCGGGCCUU
RNAcentral lists this ribosomal RNA (196 nucleotides) under uncultured Bacillus sp. RNAcentral describes it as "partial 16S ribosomal RNA". It matches the Rfam family "Bacterial small subunit ribosomal RNA", at positions 1191 to 1382 of the family's 1533-position model. Lineage: Bacteria; Bacillati; Bacillota; Bacilli; Caryophanales; Bacillaceae. The record is from RNAcentral.